Molecule: small nuclear RNA, 19 nt
Filed under: Arabidopsis thaliana (thale cress)
Lineage: Eukaryota; Viridiplantae; Streptophyta; Magnoliopsida; Brassicales; Brassicaceae
Description: snRNA_01161
Source: RNAcentral
CUAAUCCCAUGUAGUGAGG